Molecule: small RNA, 123 nt
Filed under: Salmonella enterica
Lineage: Bacteria; Pseudomonadati; Pseudomonadota; Gammaproteobacteria; Enterobacterales; Enterobacteriaceae
Also listed under: 1 other name
Description: partial RtT sRNA
Rfam family: RtT RNA
About the family: This family represents a bacterial cis-regulatory element known as RtT RNA. The exact function of RtT is unknown although it is thought that it may be involved in changing the cellular response in relation to amino acid starvation.
Source: RNAcentral
UGUAUCUGAAGCCUGACGAGGAUGAGAACCUCCGGGGGCAAGAGGUUCGACCCGAGCGAAGCGAGAGAACGUUGCGUCAGCAACGGCCCGCAGGGCGAGCCACGCAGUGGCGAGUCAUCCUCU